CUCCUAACUUGGGCAGACCCAAUCUUUCCUGCAAGUUACUUCCUGGUAUUUGUCCCUGUACUUAUUGUGCAGCUUGCUAAAAUGGGAAUUUGGGGGAGUCCAUAUCCAGAGGAACCCUCGAAGUAUUUAUUCCUACAAGUUUUAGGCCAUAUCCAGCCCAACUGUGCUGCUGGGAAUCAGAGAAAAUAGAAGCAAAAACUUAAAAGAGUUCAGUUCAGAUCCCAGAAGAAGCAACCUUCUGCCACUGUGGCUAGGUCGAGAAAGACCAACUGCAAAUUCCUGCAGAUAUAUGAGGCAGAGGCUGCCUAUUUCCUACUGGAAGGUUUUUAGAAUGUUGAUUUUUUUUCACCUGAGUAUGCACUUUUUAAGUUCUCCUCACCCGAGCCUAGGGAAAUCAGGAGGGCUUUUUCAGCUCAUAAACCAUUCUGGUAUCAAGGAGAGGGAAUGGUCACAGUAAGUAGACAGGUGACUUUCAUUUAUCAGACAAAGAUCUAUAAGAGAGACUUUCUCCAGAGAGCUAUAAAACAUCUAUUUUGCCAUUGUUCCAGAUUGGGAACUCAACUACAUUUUGUAAAAAAUGUUUCUAGGAUACAUCCAACUGAGACCUUUUACUACUCCCCUUGAUAACCUUGGGACCAGGAAGGGAAUUGGAACCCUGCUUCUGUUUCCCAAUUCAGCAGGCUAAUGGAGGAAGCUAGAAAUAUCCAACUCCCUUGAUUCCAAUUUUGACAGAUAAUAAAAUUGAGAUCCAGGUACUGGCCAAUAGAAAAACAAUACAGACUCACAGAUUUACAAGGUGUUAUUUUAAUACCCCCCUAAGUAAUUUGGGCACUAAAGUAGCCCUUUGAACUUGGACUGUAUUCAAAGUGUGUUUGCUCCCUUAACUUGAGCUUCCUAGGUUGUCUAUGGGGGGGGGCAGGGCAACUGACUAGGAAACUUGUGGAUUCUACUUUCCUCAUUUGCAUUUCUACAUCUUUCUCCACUGGUAAGUUUUGGAGGAGGGGUAGUUUCCCAUGAAGAGCCCUAGGGGCUCAGCCACUGGUUUCCUAAAUCUGAAUUUAGGAAAUCUCUUGGGAAUCACUUGGGAAUCACUCCUGUCUGCGAGGGCCUGGUAGCCUGCAGGGAGGUUGAAUAAACAAGUAAAAGGAUGAUCAAAAAGAGUAGAGGGGAGGGGGGAUAGUAGAGGAUAGGAAAGGCAGCAGAAUACAACAGACACUAGUAUGGCAAUAUGUAAAUCAAUGGAUGUGUAACUGAUGUGAUUCUGCAAUUUGUAUACGGGGUAAAAAUGGGAGUUCAUAACCCACUUGAAUCAAAGUGUGAAAUAUGAUAUAUCAAGAACUAUGUAAUGUUUUGAACAACCAACAAAAAAAUUAAAAAAAAAAAGAGUAGAGAAACACUCCCAGCUUCUUGUUUUAAAUUAGAAAAUCAUUUAAAUGUUUUACAGUAAGAUAAACCAUUCAAAUCAUGGCCCUAUAGUGGAAUUUUAACCCUAAAAUAAUUUUCUUGAAAAAUCUUUAGUAACAUGAUAUUAACAAAGAUGAUUACUAAAUAGCAUGUAUAUGAUGAAUCCAAUUUGUUUUUAAAAAUAUAAAAAUAUUUGCCAUCAUGUAAUAGUAAAUUUGAG
This 1624-nucleotide long non-coding RNA is filed under the name Marmota monax (woodchuck). The record is from RNAcentral. Lineage: Eukaryota; Metazoa; Chordata; Mammalia; Rodentia; Sciuridae.